GAACAAAAAAAAAAAAAAAAAAAAGCAUAUACUAAACCAAAAAAAAAAAAUGCUUGAAUAUCAGUUGUACAAAGUUUGGUUGUUGUUUUCUAUCUUUACAGGACCAACAACAACAACAAAAGCAUAAUAAGUCAGUUGAAUAUUUUAUAAGAAUCUAUUUAUACAUACACAUAUUCUAUAAUAUCCAUAUUUUACUGUAAAACCGAAUUUUUUUUUUUUUCAUUUAUACUGUGUUCAUCAUUUACUGUAUAGAGCGGUUGAAAUCUGUUGAUAUGUUAAUCAUAUAUUAAAUAUAUGGAUGCAUAAAAGAAGUACACAGAAGGACAAAGUAUACUAUUCUCUCUCUAUAUAUAUAUAUUAUACUACCUAUUGAAAGUGUGAUGACAUUUUUAUUUUAUUUUGUACUGUAUUCGAUUUCCCUCUCCCCCCCACCCCCCUCCUUUUUUUUGUACAUAGUUGGUCUCAUUGAAAUACAUCGUUUAACAAGCUGCUUUAUGGUAUACACAGCAACCUUUGAACUUGUGUGCCGCCAUUUAUUUUUUUUUAGUGCACCAGUACACGGUAAACGAGCAUAUUGUUUACCACUUAUGAUGUCAUGACUACCAUGCUGUAGGUCUGUCGAUGUGUGAGUGUUGUACAGUCUGUAUCUAGACCCAGUACUAUAGGCAUAACCUCCUCUCCCCCCCCC
Biomphalaria pfeifferi is the source of this 688-nucleotide non-coding RNA. The record is from the annotation of a GenBank genome assembly. NCBI's taxonomy places the organism in Eukaryota, Metazoa, Mollusca, Gastropoda, Planorbidae.